CAGCAGCCACGGUAAUACGGAGGGAGCUAGCGUUGUUCGGAAUUACUGGGCGUAAAGCGCGCGUAGGCGGUUACUCAAGUCAGAGGUGAAAGCCCGGGGCUCAACCCCGGAACUGCCUUUGAAACUAGGUGACUAGAAUCUUGGAGAGGUCAGUGGAAUUCCGAGUGUAGAGGUGAAAUUCGUAGAUAUUCGGAAGAACACCAGUGGCGAAGGCGACUGACUGGACAAGUAUUGACGCUGAGGUGCGAAAGCGUGGGGAGCAAACAGGAUUAGAUACCCGCGUAGUCCCUGUCUCUUAUAA
RNAcentral lists this ribosomal RNA (301 nucleotides) under uncultured bacterium. RNAcentral's name for it is "partial 16S ribosomal RNA". It matches the Rfam family "Bacterial small subunit ribosomal RNA", at positions 509 to 809 of the family's 1533-position model. The record is from RNAcentral.